This 492-nucleotide ribosomal RNA is filed under the name uncultured bacterium. RNAcentral describes it as "partial 16S ribosomal RNA". It matches the Rfam family "Bacterial small subunit ribosomal RNA", at positions 29 to 507 of the family's 1533-position model. The record is from RNAcentral.
AGUGAACGCUGGCGGUAGGCCUAACACAUGCAAGUCGAACGGCAGCACAGUAAGAGCUUGCUCUUACGGGUGGCGAGUGGCGGACGGGUGAGGAAUACAUCGGAAUCUACUUUUUCGUGGGGGAUAACGUAGGGAAACUUACGCUAAUACCGCAUACGACCUACGGGUGAAAGCAGGGGAUCUUCGGACCUUGCGCGAUUGAAUGAGCCGAUGUCGGAUUAGCUAGUUGGCGGGGUAAAGGCCCACCAAGGCGACGAUCCGUAGCUGGUCUGAGAGGAUGAUCAGCCACACUGGAACUGAGACACGGUCCAGACUCCUACGGGGGGCAGCAGUGGGGAAUAUUGGACAAUGGGCGCAAGCCUGAUCCAGCCAUACCGCGUGGGUGAAGAAGGCUUUCGGGUUGUAAAGCCCUUUUGUUGGGAAAGAAAAGCAGCAGGUUAAUACCCCGCUGUUCUGACGGUACCCAAAGAAUAAGCACCGGCUAACUUCGUG